AAGUGGGGUAGAGGAGCAGCGCUUAACGAUUCUUAGUGAAGCUUGAGAGCAAAGCAAUGACAUUAAGGAGAAGGAAGUGUUGCCGAAGCAGAUAAUAUUCUCUCAUGUUAUUUGCUGGGCCUGCAGUUAAGAGCUGUAGGACUGUCUCAAUAAACAGCCCGGUUUAUUGAGUUGAGCUAUCUCAAUU
RNAcentral lists this non-coding RNA (187 nucleotides) under Tepidanaerobacter acetatoxydans. RNAcentral describes it as "Lysine sequence". It matches the Rfam family "Lysine riboswitch aptamer". Rfam says of the family: Riboswitches are metabolite binding domains within certain messenger RNAs that serve as precision sensors for their corresponding targets. Allosteric rearrangement of mRNA structure is mediated by ligand binding, and this results in modulation of gene expression. This family includes riboswitches that sense lysine in a number of genes involved in lysine metabolism, including lysC. The record is from RNAcentral. RNAcentral also lists the same sequence under 1 other name. Lineage: Bacteria; Bacillati; Bacillota; Clostridia; Thermosediminibacterales; Tepidanaerobacteraceae.